GGGUGCGUAACGCGUAUAGAACCUACCUUUUACAGAGGAAUAGCCUUUAGAAAUGAAGAUUAAUGCCUCAUAGUAUUGUAGACUGGCAUCAGUUUAUAAUUAAAGAUUUAUCGGUAAAAGAUGGCUAUGCGUCCUAUUAGUUAGUUGGUAAGGUAACGGCUUACCAAGACAGCGAUAGGUAGGGGUCCUGAGAGGGAGAUCCCCCACACUGGUACUGAGACACGGACCAGACUCCUACGGGAGGCAGCAGUGAGGAAUAUUGGACAAUGGAGGAGACUCUGAUCCAGCCAUGCCGCGUGUAGGAAGAAUGCCCUAUGGGUUGUAAACUACUUUUAUACAGGAAGAAACACUGGUAUGUAUACCAGCUUGACGGUA
RNAcentral lists this ribosomal RNA (375 nucleotides) under uncultured Polaribacter sp. Its description in RNAcentral is "bacterial SSU rRNA". It matches the Rfam family "Bacterial small subunit ribosomal RNA", at positions 104 to 477 of the family's 1533-position model. Lineage: Bacteria; Pseudomonadati; Bacteroidota; Flavobacteriia; Flavobacteriales; Flavobacteriaceae. The record is from RNAcentral.